RNAcentral lists this transfer RNA (71 nucleotides) under Camelus bactrianus (Bactrian camel). It matches the Rfam family "tRNA". Rfam says of the family: Transfer RNA (tRNA) molecules are approximately 80 nucleotides in length. Their secondary structure includes four short double-helical elements and three loops (D, anti-codon, and T loops). Further hydrogen bonds mediate the characteristic L-shaped molecular structure. tRNAs have two regions of fundamental functional importance: the anti-codon, which is responsible for specific mRNA codon recognition, and the 3' end, to which the tRNAs corresponding amino acid is attached (by aminoacyl-tRNA synthetases). tRNAs cope with the degeneracy of the genetic code in two manners: having more than one tRNA (with a specific anti-codon) for a particular amino acid; and 'wobble' base-pairing, i.e. permitting non-standard base-pairing at the 3rd anti-codon position. RNAcentral also lists the same sequence under 2 other names. The record is from Rfam by way of RNAcentral. Lineage: Eukaryota; Metazoa; Chordata; Mammalia; Artiodactyla; Camelidae.
GAGGGUAUAGCUCAGCAGUAGAGCACAUGCUUAGCAUGCACAAGGUCCUGGGUUCAAUCCCAGUACCUCUA